AGAGGGUGCGAGCGUUGUCCGGAAUCACUGGGCGUAAAGGGCGCGUAGGCGGCCUGGUAAGUAGGGGGUGAAAUCUUGCGGCUCAACUGCAAGGCUGCCUCCUAAACUGUCAGGCUUGAGCACAGUAGAGGCAGGUGGAAUUCCCGGUGUAGCGGUGGAAUGCGUAGAGAUCGGGAAGAACAUCGGUGGCGAAGGCGGCCUGCUGGGCUGUUGCUGACGCUGAGGCGCGACAGCGUGGGGAGCAAACAGGAUUAGAUACCCUGGUAGUCCACGCCGUAAACGAUGGGUACUAGGCGUCGGGGGGAGCGACCCCUUCGGUGCCGUCGCUAACGCAGUAAGUACCCCGCCUGGGGAGUACGGCCGCAAGGCUGAA
Molecule: ribosomal RNA, 373 nt
Filed under: uncultured bacterium
Lineage: Bacteria
Description: bacterial SSU rRNA
Rfam family: Bacterial small subunit ribosomal RNA
Source: RNAcentral